UACGGGGGGAGCAAGCGUUGUUCGGAUUUACUGGGCGUAAAGGGCGCGUAGGCGGCACUGUUAGUCAGGCGUGAAAUUCCUGGGCUCAACCUGGGGACUGCGCUUGAUACGGCAGAGCUUGAGGAUGGAAGAGGGUCGCGGAAUUCCCAGUGUAGAGGUGAAAUUCGUAGAUAUUGGGAAGAACACCGGUGGCGAAGGCGGCGACCUGGUCCAUUACUGACGCUGAGGCGCGACAGCGUGGGGAGCAAACAGG
This 253-nucleotide ribosomal RNA is filed under the name uncultured bacterium. RNAcentral describes it as "partial 16S ribosomal RNA". It matches the Rfam family "Bacterial small subunit ribosomal RNA", at positions 524 to 776 of the family's 1533-position model. The record is from RNAcentral.